AACGAAAAUUUAUUGAUGAACGUAGCGUUACAGAGCAAGCCACCUGUAUCAGCCGCGUUGCACUCGCCUGGGAAAAUACUAAUAUCAGUCCUGUGUCGACGGAUAGACACACCCGUCAAGGAUGAUGGGAAGGAAGGACAUCGCAGGACGCGAUUCAUCAGGAUGAUGAAAAGGAUUAAAGGGAUUAGGGAAAAAAUGUGGGCGGGUCAAACCGCCCCUUUUUUUUGCCUGCGAUUUCUUGAUCC
Molecule: small RNA, 245 nt
Filed under: Pseudomonas ogarae
Lineage: Bacteria; Pseudomonadati; Pseudomonadota; Gammaproteobacteria; Pseudomonadales; Pseudomonadaceae
Source: RNAcentral